RNAcentral lists this small RNA (125 nucleotides) under Marmota monax (woodchuck). Lineage: Eukaryota; Metazoa; Chordata; Mammalia; Rodentia; Sciuridae. The record is from RNAcentral.
GCCAGGUGCAAUGGCAUGCUCCUGUAAUCCCAGCAGCUUGGGAGGCUGAGGCAGGAGGAUCGCAAGUUCAAAGCCAGCCUCAGCAAAAGUGAGGCACUAAGCAACUCUGGGAGACCUUGUCUCUA